UAAGUCCAGAGUCUGGAGAGAAUCAGAAGGCUACUAUUUUAUUUUUAAUGGAAGAGUCCUGGACACCAAAGGGAGAAGAGGUGAAGUAGACCAAGAUUUCAACAGUUUCAGUGGCUGUGUGAGACCCUUCUGAAUUCGCACAAGGAUGGCGAGGUGACCGGCAACGAUGAGAGCUGAAAUAGGUGGCCGGAAUCUUCUUCAAGUGCCGACGCAUUUAUCGGCAUCAGAAUGGUUGUUUCGGCACAUGGGGGUUCUUGUGACAGAAUCUGAUGUCGGUCUUCGAAGGGGUGACUCGCCGGCGGCUAUUGAUUCUCCCUAGAUCCGUGGUGUGGUCCAACUCGCUCAGGAAAUUGACCAGCUAAAAAGGGUAGCAGUGUUUUCUUUUAGGGACUGAAGAACCAUCAAGCCACUUUUGGCUUUGAUGCCAUGAAAUUUAAGAAGAAAGAGAGGUAUUUUCGUGAG
This 462-nucleotide unclassified non-coding RNA is filed under the name Hevea brasiliensis (rubber tree). Lineage: Eukaryota; Viridiplantae; Streptophyta; Magnoliopsida; Malpighiales; Euphorbiaceae. The record is from RNAcentral.